GGUUCAGUGUGCACGCGGAUGCGGCGCGCUUUUUAUUGAUAAGUGUGGAAGGCUUGCAGCAGGCUGUAGGUUGGGCUGCAACAGUGUUUCCUUUGGCAUUUUAUUUUUUUUUAUAAUUUGCAAAAUCGAGCGUAGAAAAAGAACCCUAUUUAUUCACUUGAAGUUGUUUUGUAUGAUUAUUGCAAGACUGGCAACCUGAUAUGCGUUUAUUAUUCCCUAUGAAAUCAUUGUUGUUUUUUUUGCUGCUGCUGUUGUUGAUAUUUCACAUGAAUAAGCAGAGAGAAGGAUUUUCUUUUACUUUGCCUUUAACAGUUUAAUACGCGUAUCGGUGGGAGGGGGAUUAGUCUUAUUCUAACAGUAUCCCCUCUGGAAUAUGGGAAGCACUGUGAUGGAUUCUAAGAAGACGGAUAGCAGGAAGAAAUGGACCAGAAAAAGGACAACGCUUCGGUUAAACAUGCCGGACCUGAGCUUACAUGCCAUGCCCUUUCAGGAGGGAGAUGAUGAGUGCAAUGACAAGGAUAAUACACAUAAGGGGGAGAUCAGCUGCCACUCAGCUAGCCCAACUAAAGGAUUUUUCAGCAGGAGUCCAUUUAGCCGGCCCUCUAGUCCAAUGUCUGCUCCUGCAAAGUCCAAAACCAGCCCAGGUUCACCAAGAACCAUCUUCCCCUACCCCCUACAUCAGGAAUCACCAUCUAAAUCACCUCGCCGCCUCAGCUUUUCUGGAAUCUUUCGCUCAUCCUCUAAGGACUCCUCAUGUGCCUCCCUGUCCAAUUCCUCUUCUUCCUCUCCUGUCAGUAUUAAACUUUUCUCCCGUGCCAGGAAAGCAUCUGUGAUCUCCUCCCCACCCACCACUCCUACACAACUGACCAAACCCUCACCAACAUUUCCUCUGGAAGAAACCCGCAACCUCCCUAUGCGUCAAGAGGAGCGAUUGCGCUCGCUAUCCUCUCCCCCAGACACUGGACAGCACUUCAGCAUGCCCUCAGCCAAGCCACCUCUCACCGCUUCCUCAGCACCCAUUGCUACCUCACGCAUGGUUCGCGGUUUGUCCGAAGGCAUGCUGGAGAAACUCGAUCACGACGAUGAAGUUGUCGAAGAGUCUGAAAGCGAUAUUUACAUGCACUUUAUGAAGUCCCACAAGUGCUAUGACAUUGUUCCCACUAGUUCCAAACUGGUGGUGUUUGACACGACGCUACAAGUUAAGAAGGCCUUUUUUGCUUUGGUGGCUAAUGGAGUUCGAGCAGCGCCUCUGUGGGAGACGAAGAAGCAGAGUUUUGUAGGAAUGCUAACAAUCACAGACUUCAUCAAUAUACUUCACAGAUACUACAAGUCACCAAUGGUGCAGAUCUAUGAGCUGGAGGAACAUAAGAUCGAAACUUGGAGAGAGCUCUAUUUACAAGAAACUUUUAAACCUUUAGUCAACAUAUCACCAGAUGCAAGCAUAUUCGACGCCGUGUAUUCACUAAUCAAGAACAAGAUUCACCGCUUGCCCGUUAUCGACCCCGUCAGUGGGAAUGCACUUUAUAUCCUAACACACAAGAGGAUCCUCAAGUUCCUGCAGCUCUUUGUUUGUGAGAUGCCAAAGCCUGCCUUCAUGAAGAAGAGCCUGGCAGACCUGGGCAUCGGGACGUACAGAAACAUCGCCUUCAUUCAUCCCGACACACCUAUAAUCAAGGCUUUGAGCAUCUUCGUGGAGAGGAGGGUUUCAGCUUUGCCCGUGGUAGACGAGUCUGGAAAGGUUGUAGAUAUUUAUUCCAAAUUUGAUGUCAUUAAUCUUGCUGCUGAAAAGACCUACAAUAACCUGGACAUUAGCGUGACUCAGGCAUUGAUGCAUCGCUCUCAGUACUUUGAGGGCGUCAUGAAGUGCAACAGACUGGAGACCCUGGAGACCAUAGUGGACAGGAUAGUCAAAGCUGAGGUGCACAGGCUGGUGGUGGUAGACGAGGCCGGCUGCAUCGUGGGUAUUGUGUCCCUGUCGGACAUCCUGCAGGCCCUGGUCCUCACUCCAGCAGGUAUAGACGCUCUGCACUGCUAAAGCUCCUCUCUGUUCCCGGACUCCACUCUCUUCCCACCCCAAACACACACACAGGUCUAACCAGGAAGGAGAGUGAGGAAGCUGAGUGAUGUACAUCAGGACUUCUAAAUUCUGUCAUGCUGCUGGAAAAGGAAGCGGGAAGUAGAUUUAAAGCUGGCGUUUGGGAUUUCUAUGUAGCCCAAUGAAAGCUGUGUCAAACAGAGGAAAAGGGUUCAGGGUUGCAAACUGAAUGCUGCUGAAGGCCAGAUGAGGAAUGGGAUUGAUUGGGGAAUGGAUGGAUGGAUGGGCUACAAGGGAGACAAGGUGGACCACCAAGGAUCUCUUCCUCACGGCGAUUCUGCAGAGCACGGUGUCUAAAGCUGUUACUGCACGCUCACCAUCACUACGUAUUAAACAUCGCCAUCUGGUGUCCAUUCUGUGUAUUAAACUCCCUGGUCAACUUUGGACAGUACCAUCAUCAUUCUAAGGGAAUUCCUUGUAGUGACGAGCAAUUUGAUUUUCUUUCAUUUCCAUGUUCUUUGUUCAGAGCACAGCUUUAGCUUGUGGGCUUACUUGCACAUUUCAUACUGUCUGUUCUGUUUAAUUGUUAUAUAUAAUUUUCAUCUUUCUUUUUCAUUUCCCCAUUCCCCCCUUUUUUUUUUAAACUGUGCCUUCUGUCCACUAGUUGUUGCCCAUCAUGGAAGAGAAAGCAAGCAAGAACAGCAAAUGUUCAAUUGAAUCAAAAUGAAUGUCAGUGUGUCUAAAAACCAAAAUGUUUAGAAUAUGUUGUCAGUUUUAAAAGUUUUAAGUUCAUAUUUUCUUGUUUAUUCCUUUUAGGUUUUAUUUCAAUAAGAUGUUUUUGAAAGAUUCUGUAAACGUAGAUUCAAUGUUUUAUUUAUUUGUAUUUUGAUAUUUGUUAACCUUUUUUUUUUUUCUUUCGUAUGUCAAACGGGAUUAAAGGUUUGUUUAGCCCCCUAUGCAUUAAAAUGACGUUCUUGUGACUUGACAUGGAGUGCAAUUUCAGAACGCAGCCGCUGCCUACGUGCAGUUCUUCGUUCUCUCCAGGUAAACCGGAGGCAUGCAACGAAACCCCUCAUACUCUUUAUCAGUUGUACUGUACAUAGGAAGAGCUUGUGAGAUAUCUACAAAGUGCCAGAGAAAGGUCUAUUUUUCUGUGCUUUCAGUGUAUCUUUGUAAUAAUAUGGAUAUUUUAUUUUAUUUUUUAUUUUUUUGCUGGUCCUGUCAUCUUUAUUGUGGCUGUGUUGAUGGUUAAAAGGUCACUAAUGAAAGUAUCAUGUCCACUGAACAAUGUAUAUCACUGGCAUGAAGAUGAUACUACAAUGGUUAAGCAUUGUGGGUUGAUUUUAAUUUUUUCCAUUUUGCAGUUUGGAAAACAAUAAAUCACUACUGAAUCUUUA
Molecule: RNA transcript, 3432 nt
Organism: Silurus meridionalis
Lineage: Eukaryota; Metazoa; Chordata; Actinopteri; Siluriformes; Siluridae
Gene: prkag2a
Gene name: protein kinase, AMP-activated, gamma 2 non-catalytic subunit a
Exons: 16
Source: RefSeq, a predicted model, not a curated record